Molecule: non-coding RNA, 54 nt
Organism: Macaca mulatta (Rhesus monkey)
Lineage: Eukaryota; Metazoa; Chordata; Mammalia; Primates; Cercopithecidae
Source: Rfam
AAAGUGUCAUAUGCCACUGCCAUGGAUUGGUUCAUAGCUGUUUGCUUUGCUUUC